Molecule: ribosomal RNA, 460 nt
Filed under: uncultured bacterium
Lineage: Bacteria
Description: partial 16S ribosomal RNA
Rfam family: Bacterial small subunit ribosomal RNA
Source: RNAcentral
CCUACGGGCGGCAGCAGUGAGGAAUAUUGGUCAAUGGACGAGAGUCUGAACCAGCCAAGUAGCGUGAAGGAUGACUGCCCUAUGGGUUGUAAACUUCUUUUAUAUGGGAAUAAAACGUUCCACGUGUGGGAUUUUGUAUGUACCAUAUGAAUAAGGAUCGGCUAACUCCGUGCCAGCAGCCGCGGUAAUACGGAGGAUCCGAGCGUUAUCCGGAUUUAUUGGGUUUAAAGGGAGCGUAGGUGGAUUGUUAAGUCAGUUGUGAAAGUUUGCGGCUCAACCGUAAAAUUGCAGUUGAAACUGGCAGUCUUGAGUACAGUAGAGGUGGGCGGAAUUCGUGGUGUAGCGGUGAAAUGCUUAGAUAUCACGAAGAACUCCGAUUGCGAAGGCAGUUCACUUGACUGCAACUGACACUGAGGCUCGAAAGUGUGGGUAUCAAACAGGAUUAGAUACCCGUGUAGUC